RNAcentral lists this transfer RNA (62 nucleotides) under Pseudoregma bambucicola. RNAcentral's name for it is "tRNA-Trp". The record is from RNAcentral. Lineage: Eukaryota; Metazoa; Arthropoda; Insecta; Hemiptera; Hormaphididae.
AGGAUUUUAAGUUAAUAAUAAACUAUUAAUUUUCAAAAUUAAGAAUAUUUUUAUAAAUCUUU